GUUAAAAAGCUCGUAGUUGGAUUUCUGCGCGGGCGGGGCGUCCUCCACCUUUUGGGUGGCUAGGACAGCAACGCUUGCGCAUCCUGCCGCGAACCACGCUACCAUUAGUUUGGUGGCGUCUGGGGACCGGCUCGUUUACUUUGAGAAAAAUAGAGUGUUCAAAGCAGGCCUUAUGCCUUGAAUAAUGUAGCAUGGAAUAAUGAUAAAGGACUUUGGUUCUAUUUUGUUGGUGUUCGGGACCGAAGUAAUGAUUGAUAGGGACAGUUGGGGGCGUCAGUAUUCUGAAGCGAGAGGCGAAAUUCUUAGACCUUCGGAAGACUAACAGCUGCGAAAGCGUUCGCCAAGGAUGUUCCCUUUGAUCAAGAACGAAAGUUGGGGGAUCGAAGACGAUCAGAUACCGUCGUAGUCUCAACUAUAACCUAUACCAGCUAGGGAUCGGCCAACGUUGAUACUCAAGACUUGGUCGGCACCUUAUGAGAAAUCAAAGCAUCUGGGUUCCGGGGGGAGUAUGGUCGCAA
Molecule: ribosomal RNA, 518 nt
Filed under: uncultured marine eukaryote
Lineage: Eukaryota
Description: bacterial SSU rRNA
Rfam family: Eukaryotic small subunit ribosomal RNA
Source: RNAcentral